CAGCAGCCUCGGUAAUUCCGGCGGCCCGAGUGGCGGCCACUAUUAUUGGGCUUAAAGCGUCCGUAGCCGGGUUGGUUAGUCUCCCGGGAAAUCUGGCCGCUUAACGGUCAGAAUUCCGGGAGAUACUGCCAGCCUAGGGACCGGGAGAGGCCGAGGGUAUUCCCGGAGUAGGGGUGAAAUCCUAUAAUCCCGGGAGGACCACCUGUGGCGAAGGCGCUCGGCUGGAACGGGUCCGACGGUGAGGGACGAAGGCCAGGGGAGCAAACCGGAUUAGAUACCCGGGUAGUCCUGGCUGUAAACGAUGCGGACUUUGUGUCGGACAAGCUAUGAGCUUGUCCGGUGCCGGAGGGAAACCGUUAAGUCCGCCGCCUGGGGAGUACGGCCGCAAGGCUGAAACUUAAAGGAAUUGGCGGG
This 414-nucleotide ribosomal RNA is filed under the name uncultured microorganism. RNAcentral describes it as "bacterial SSU rRNA". It matches the Rfam family "Archaeal small subunit ribosomal RNA", at positions 459 to 872 of the family's 1478-position model. The record is from RNAcentral.